UGUGUCAGGACUGGUAGCGUGCUAUAUUGUCACCGGUGCAGCCACUUGGAGGCAAGGGGAAGUGGUCGGAAGUUUGAAACGUACUCCGAAAAAAGAGGAUUUACAUGAGCAAGGAGGAAAAGAGGGAUUCCUUGCCGCAAACAUCUGCUUAUCGUCGGAAUAUCGAAGAGGUGCCGAAAGUCACGAUACGCUUUCUUUUUGGAGUUUGUUUCCGACAGACACUUCAGCCCUGGCUUGGCGCGUCUUGUUUUGGCCCAUCUUUGGCCCAGAUAGUUCCAGUCCAUUGUUCAACUCUCGUACCCAACAGAUGUUGUUUAGACCUCAAUGUCCCCAUAAACUCCACCACCACCAACUCUGUCGUUCCCAUGUGAUGGGGUGAAGGGAGGGGACACCAGUAAUACACAGCCAAGAACCAAGAGGAGACAAUGAAUGUGCACUUCAAGUUUCCCCGGCUCAGCUAAUAGUACCCAGUAAAGUGUCUAGGACAACUCUUCAAGUGUCUGCUGGGUACGAUCACAGACACAUGGAAGAAACGGAUAUUCUGGGUGGAGGAGAGGAACCUCGCAUCAUAUUAUAUGGCGGCAAUGUUCUCCUCGACAAAGGAAAGUGGCUCUUGGAAAAACGCACUCCUAAAUCAAGUUGCAGUAUUGUGCCCAGACCAAGAUUGAAAUCUGUCCCACCUUACAACGUGUCCCCGUAUACCCGACGACCCCGCCACCGGUGACCAGGCUGGCCAGCUGCCAGACCGCUCGAGUGGUGUAAACCAGCCGCGGGCGGGCCCACAGAAAUAGCUUCCAGCGCCGGAGUUACACGGCUAGACUUUGAUCGUAAUUUGAUCCUGCUCCGCCAGCAGAGCGGUCGACCUUUUGUACCGUUAAUAGAAGCAAUGACACGUUAUUAUAGCCCAUUGGGAUACAUUCAAUUUAUGCUGGGUGAACCCUCUUGGACACCCGCUGAUCCAGCACUUCUUUUUAGGUGCACUUCACAGUUUAAUUUGGGGAUUCAUAAUUUCCUGCUUGGUUUCAACAUCUUACUUUCUCAAAUACGUGAUUUUUCUUUUGCAUCAGGCAUAGUUCAUGGUUGCCACUCAAACAAUGAGUGAGUGAGUGUGUGAUGAUGGCAUAUAAAUCAUGUUUUUCAAAUUGUAUUCAAAAAUAGUUGUGAGGAUGACCUUUUUAGUCAAUAAAUGCUAGUAUGUUUUAUAGAUUUGAUAUGCAAUAUGAAAUUCAAUUUCAACAUAAGGUAGUAACUGGACGUUUUGGGGAUAAAACCACAAAAUGUGUCAACUGGCACUUUUUUACGAUCACCCAUAGCAACAAAUGUAAAACAGAUGCUGCGAUAUCCGACUUCAGCGCAAGUGUGACAGUGUGAGCGUUAACGAGGAAAUGCAUUCGACGUGGCCAUGUGUCAUGUUACACACGUUACAUGUAUGUAUAAAACAUGGAAAGGUGCAAAGACUGAGCGUGGGAACAAGACUAUGAUGGUAUUUCAAAUGU
This is a long non-coding RNA of Syngnathus typhle (broad-nosed pipefish), 1496 nucleotides long. RefSeq lists it as uncharacterized. Lineage: Eukaryota; Metazoa; Chordata; Actinopteri; Syngnathiformes; Syngnathidae. The record is from RefSeq and is a predicted model, not a curated record. The transcript has 3 exons.